This is a long non-coding RNA of Cyprinus carpio carpio, 615 nucleotides long. The record is from Ensembl. NCBI's taxonomy places the organism in Eukaryota, Metazoa, Chordata, Actinopteri, Cypriniformes, Cyprinidae.
GGAGGAGACAGGCGUCUGCCGUUCCUCAAAGCCCGGAGGACGUUCCCGAGCGGGCCGCUGUCGUCCAGGAGGACGUUCCCGAGCGGGCCGCUGCCGUCCAGGAGGACGUUCCCGAGCGGGCCGCUGCCGUCCAGGAGGACGUGCCAGAGGUUCCCGAGGCGGGGCUCGAGGUGGUUCUGGAGGCCGAGGCGGUGCCCGAUGCUGUGCCCGAUGCCGAGGCGGUGCCCGAGGCUGUGCCCGAUGCCGAGGCGGUGCCCUUGUCUGAGGCCGUUCCCGAUGCCGUUCCCAAUGCCGUGACCUGGCCAUCGCCACAGCCUGCUCCUUACUGGCUCCCCGAUUGGCAGGUUCCGUUCGGGCCACUCAAAUGGCGAAUUCCUCCCUGGCCGUCUGCACAACGAGAAUGGACUGAUCCACCGUGGCCACCUGAACUGCCUGGCCCCUCGUGGUCCCCUGAACUUUCGGGUCCACCGUGGCCACCUGAACUGCCUGGUCCCUCAUGGUCCCCUGAACUUUCGGGUCCACCGGGGCCACCUGAACUGACCGAGCCACCUGGGCUGCCAGGGGAACCAUCGCUGCCGGUCCCAGUUCCCCUACACGGGCCUGGCCCGCCAUCCC